Molecule: ribosomal RNA, 1458 nt
Filed under: Salmonella enterica subsp. enterica serovar Enteritidis
Lineage: Bacteria; Pseudomonadati; Pseudomonadota; Gammaproteobacteria; Enterobacterales; Enterobacteriaceae
Description: partial 23S ribosomal RNA
Rfam family: Bacterial large subunit ribosomal RNA
Source: RNAcentral
AGACCCGAAACCCGGUGAUCUAGCCAUGGGCAGGUUGAAGGUUGGGUAACACUAACUGGAGGACCGAACCGACUAAUGUUGAAAAAUUAGCGGAUGACCUGUGGCUGGGGGUGAAAGGCCAAUCAAACCGGGAGAUAGCUGGUUCUCCCCGAAAGCUAUUUAGGUAGCGCCUCGUGAAUUCAUCUCCGGGGGUAGAGCACUGUUUCGGCUAGGGGGCCAUCCCGGCUUACCAACCCGAUGCAAACUGCGAAUACCGGAGAAUGUUAUCACGGGAGACACACGGCGGGUGCUAACGUCCGUCGUGAAGAGGGAAACAACCCAGACCGCCAGCUAAGGUCCCAAAGUCAUGGUUAAGUGGGAAACGAUGUGGGAAGGCCCAGACAGCCAGGAUGUUGGCUUAGAAGCAGCCAUCAUUUAAAGAAAGCGUAAUAGCUCACUGGUCGAGUCGGCCUGCGCGGAAGAUGUAACGGGGCUAAACCAUGCACCGAAGCUGCGGCAGCGACACUGUGUGUUGUUGGGUAGGGGAGCGUUCUGUAAGCCUGUGAAGGUGUGUCGUGAGGCAUGCUGGAGGUAUCAGAAGUGCGAAUGCUGACAUAAGUAACGAUAAAGCGGGUGAAAAGCCCGCUCGCCGGAAGACCAAGGGUUCCUGUCCAACGUUAAUCGGGGCAGGGUGAGUCGACCCCUAAGGCGAGGCCGAAAGGCGUAGUCGAUGGGAAACGGGUUAAUAUUCCCGUACUUGGUGUUACUGCGAAGGGGGGACGGAGAAGGCUAUGUUGGCCGGGCGACGGUUGUCCCGGUUUAAGCGUGUAGGUGUGUGUUCCAGGUAAAUCCGGUUCACUUUAACACUGAGGCGUGACGACGAGGCACUACGGUGCUGAAGCAACAAAUGCCCUGCUUCCAGGAAAAGCCUCUAAGCAUCAGGUAACAUCAAAUCGUACCCCAAACCGACACAGGUGGUCAGGUAGAGAAUACCAAGGCGCUUGAGAGAACUCGGGUGAAGGAACUAGGCAAAAUGGUGCCGUAACUUCGGGAGAAGGCACGCUGACACGUAGGUGAAGUGAUUUACUCAUGGAGCUGAAGUCAGUCGAAGAUACCAGCUGGCUGCAACUGUUUAUUAAAAACACAGCACUGUGCAAACACGAAAGUGGACGUAUACGGUGUGACGCCUGCCCGGUGCCGGAAGGUUAAUUGAUGGGGUCAGCGCAAGCGAAGCUCCUGAUCGAAGCCCCGGUAAACGGCGGCCGUAACUAUAACGGUCCUAAGGUAGCGAAAUUCCUUGUCGGGUAAGUUCCGACCUGCACGAAUGGCGUAAUGAUGGCCAGGCUGUCUCCACCCGAGACUCAGUGAAAUUGAACUCGCUGUGAAGAUGCAGUGUACCCGCGGCAAGACGGAAAGACCCCGUGAACCUUUACUAUAGCUUGACACUGAACAUUGAGCCUUGAUGUGUAGGAUAGGUGG